Zonotrichia albicollis (white-throated sparrow) is the source of this 1789-nucleotide long non-coding RNA. NCBI's taxonomy places the organism in Eukaryota, Metazoa, Chordata, Aves, Passeriformes, Passerellidae. The record is from Ensembl.
GCUCCUGAGAAAACCAGGUCACUUAAUUAGGUGACAAAUUAUGGCUUAGGUGCUCACAUUUCCUCACGCUGGGCAGCAAAUGUUGGCUGCAGCAUUGUAGAAAAAAAAAAAUAAAUUAUGACUCAGAUGAACCAGAAAAGAGGAAAAAGUAAGAAAAUGACUUAUUUUUCGGAAUUUACUGGAUGGUAUCACUGAGUAACCAUUUCUGGUGAGGCAAAAUGGGUUCAGGAGAUUUGUGCAGCAUUGCUGGCCCCCUGGGGCACCCAGUUCCUCUUGGCUUCUGAGAUGAAGCGCAGGGAAAUCAUUUAAAAGCACCCAGCAACAUGGAAUAACCAUUUCUAACAGAGGUUCUGUGCAAAUGCAGAUCUGGAGAAUUCAGGGGAAGAGGAAAGAAAAUCCUUACAGCAAUGACUUCCAAAUGCACAGCAGGAAGAAAUAAAUGGGUUUGAUUCUUCCACUUGAGGUGGGAGACACCAAAGUGUGUUGAAGAAUUAAAUGGGGGUUCUUCCACCUCAAAGCCCUUCUCAUACACUCCUCAAUGUCAGGGCCCAAGGAAAACCUUUCUCCACUCAAUCCUUGGUUAAACAGGGUGAAAUAUGGCCGGGAAACAUCCCAGCUAAAGAGCCACAUUCCCGGGUGCCACGAAUUUCUGAAUUAUUCUGCACACAGAAAUGGCCACAGCAAAGUAGAAAAAAAACACCCAAUUCCUGGGUUCCCAUAAUUUCUGAAUUAUUCUGCACAAAAAACCAGCCACAGAGGGGUGUUCCUAAAUGUGCUGUGCUCCUCUGAAUCCUCAACGUGCACAAUUCACUCAGCCACCCCCCAAAAAAUAAUAUGAUGCUGUUUCUGUUCUGAUUUGGGUGACCUUGCUGCUUUCACUAAACCAACUGCACAUUGAGUUUUGCAAGGAAAAUUUCUGUGCAUUUAAUGACUUGGUUAUGUGAAAUAGGAAAAAAAAUCACCCAAAUUCCUGAGUGCCAUUAAUUUCUGAAUUAUUCUGCACACAGAAAUGGCCACAGUGAAGCAGAAAAAAAACCACCCAAAUUUCUGGGUGCCAUAAUUUCUGAAUUAUUCUGCACCCAGAAACGGCCACAUUGAGGUGCUCCAAAAUGUGCUGUGACAAUUCACUCAGCCACCCCCCAAAAAAAAUCAUGUGAUUCUGCUUCUGUUCUGAUUUGGGUGACCUUGGUGCUUUCACUAAACAACUGCACCUUGAGGAACGGUUUUGCAAGGAAAAUUUGCAGAAUUAUGAAUUUAAUGACUUAGUUAUGUGCAGUAGGAAAAAAACCCACCCAAAUUCCUGGGUGCCAUUAAUUUCUGAAUUAUUCUGCACACAGAAAUGGCCACAGUAAAGUAGGAAAAAAACACCCAAAUUUCUGGGUGCCACAAAUUUCUGAAUUAUUCUGCACACAGAAACGGCCACAGUGAAGUAGGAAAAAAACCACCCAAAUUCCUGGCUGACAUGAAUUUCUGAAUUAUUCUGUGCACAGAAACGGCCACAUUGAGGUGCUCCAAAAUGUGCUGUGACAAUUCAUUCAGCCACCCCCCAAAAAAAUCAUAUAAUGCUGUUUCUGUUCUGAUUUGGGUGACCUUGGUGCUUUCACUAAACAACUGCACAUUCAGGAAUGAUUUUGCAAGGAAAAUUUGCAAAAUUAUGCAUUUAAUGACUUGGUUAUGUGAAGUAGGAAAAAAACACCCAAAUUUCUGGGUGCCACAAAUUUCUGAAUUAUUCUGCACACAGAAACGGCCACAGUGAAGUAGAAAAAAAACACCCAAAUUUCUGGGUGAC